This 468-nucleotide ribosomal RNA is filed under the name uncultured bacterium. RNAcentral describes it as "bacterial SSU rRNA". It matches the Rfam family "Bacterial small subunit ribosomal RNA", at positions 1 to 507 of the family's 1533-position model. The record is from RNAcentral.
CAGUAGUCACGUAGUUUGAUCAUGGCUCAAGAACGAACGCUGGCGGCAUGCCUAACACAUGCAAGUCGAACGAGACCUUCGGGUCUAGUGGCGCACGGGUGCGUAAACGCGUGGGAACCUGCCCUUUUAGGGUUCGGAAUAACUCCAGAGAAAUUUGAGCUAAUACCGGAUAAUGUCUUCGGACCAAAGAUUUAUCGCCUUUAGAUGGGCCCGCGUUGGAUUAGCUAGUUGGUGGGGUAAAGGCCUACCAAGGCGACGAUCCAUAGCUGGUCUGAGAGGAUGAUCAGCCACACUGGGACUGAGACACGGCCCAGACUCCUACGGGAGGCAGCAGUGGGGAAUAUUGGACAAUGGGCGAAAGCCUGAUCCAGCAAUGCCGCGUGAGUGAUGAAGGCCUUAGGGUUGUAAAGCUCUUUACCCGAGAUGAUAAUGACAGUAUCGGGAGAAUAAGCUCCGGCUAACUCCGUG